RNAcentral lists this non-coding RNA (30 nucleotides) under Mus musculus (house mouse). Lineage: Eukaryota; Metazoa; Chordata; Mammalia; Rodentia; Muridae. The record is from RNAcentral.
UGCACUUGAAUAAUAGCUCCUGGCUUUGUC